CUCGAACGGUAGUGUACAUAUUUCCAUUAUUUCUCGCUCGCGCUCUCGAAAUGAACUCUGUUGUUUUGAUUUUGCAGGCAUUUUUACGUGAAGGUAGAAACAUUAAAAAAAGACAAAAAACAUGUCAGUGGUGGGUGUCAGGUAGAGGUGGUAAUGGACAGAUAAAACACUACCUGCUUCAUCUACAGGACAGGUGAUGGAUGAGCUGUCAAGGAUGAGGAUGAUUUACUUCCAAUGAAUAACCUGCGAGUCAUGUACUGUAAUGUAAUAAUACGAUAAUAAUACAUUUACAUACUGUAGUGCCUAAUGCAAGAAAACUCAACCCAUGUGGCUGUAUCAGUAUUAGUAUUUUAUUACAUGCCACCCUUUCUGUUGAAUUUGUGUAGCGAGAACAUUCACUUCAGAAACUGACUAAUAUUGUGGAAAUUACCUGUCUUAAUUGUCACUUGAUCUUUUUGCCUAUUUUCUAUAAUGGAAACCGUCUUACAAAUAUAGUUGUGGUGUGCUGCCCUCUAGUGAAGCUGUUCUGCUGAAUUGUAGAGUAAACAUAUUUCCAAAGAAGAAUCUUGAUGCCAAGUCUUGCUAAUGUAGAAUUAUUAUUAAUAAUAAUCUCUAGUCACUUUAAGCCCUGUCAAAUUUUAGUUGAAAGAAACAUUAGAUUUACAUCACAUCAUGACUAUGUGGGCACAUCACGACUAUAUAUGGGCACAUCGUGACUAUAUAUGGGCACAUCAUGACUAUAUAUGGGCACAUCAUGACUAUAAUGUAGGCACAUCAUAAUAAUAUAGGCACAUCAUGACCAUAUAUAGGCACAUCAUGACUAUAUAUAGGCACAUCAUGACUAUGCUGUAUAUGGGCACAUGAAUAUAUUUGCACAUCAUGACUGUAUAUGGGCACAUACAGUAUUUGUAUUUGUAAAAAAAGAUUUGUAAAAGUAAUAUGAAAAUAACUGAAGACAGAAGAUGUUUUAAAAGCAGCAGUGGAGCCAGAAACUUGUCGACAAGGGGUCCGACUUGUCUGACGGAAGGGUCCGACACAAGAGGCUGACUAGAGCCUCAGUCGAUGGCCUGGAAUUAAAAAUCCCUGGUAGGGUUCAAAGGGAGAGUUUUUAUGGCAUAUUAUGGUCCAUGUGCUUUUAGACCACAAUAUUAGGGAUCAGCAAUCAAAAUAGUGUUACAGUAUUUGGAUAGGCAAAUAAUUAUUUUUGAUCCGACAACCUAGAGUAGUGUUGGACGACCUAGCGUGGCAUAAGACGACAGGGUGGUCCAGAUCUGUCCAAUGGGAUGGCAAAUUCCCCCCUGCUGGUGCCGCCACUAUUUAAACAAGUUGCAGGUACUACAGUAAUUAUUAUUUUUAAGAAUGGAUUAUCAAGGUAAAAUUUUUAAAAGGCAUACAAGAUUAAAUCUUUUAAGCCAGCAACAGGUUGUGAUAGCAUCUGGUGGAAGAGCAAGUCUAUUCUAACAUAUGACAUGCCUACAUAUGGUCAUAAUGUCGUCACAUCAUGACCAUAUAUAGACACACCAUGACUAUAUAUGGGCACAUCAUGACCAUAUAUAGACACACCAUGACCAUAUAUAGACACGCCAUGACUAUAUAUGGCUGGCAAUAUAGCAGGUUUUUUUUUUAUAAAAAAAAUUUGAUAGUCUUGAAGGGACUUAAAGAGUUCAUUGAAUCUGUAAGCUUCGUUUCACACACGUCUUAAAAAAAAAAAAACAUGCGACCAAAGUAUUGUAGGGAUUGGGAUUUUUCAGUGAUAGAUACUUAAGUUUUACUUAUACUCAAGAGUGAAAGAGCUUAUGAUUCACUUGUUUUGUGACUUUUAAGUAGUUUAUGUACAAUCUUGGAUCUGUGUGGAUUUUUCCACACAUUAAGGAGCUUUAAAUUUGUGCGACGACACAACGCUAGAACGAAAUCACUCAUGAAUGACCCUCCUACCUGGCGCCCUACGUUCUCUGCAUAUGUAGAUUUGGCCAAAAUUGGGUUCCAGAAUCUACUCGACGAGGUGACCUUAACGUUCUCGCUGCGCAUGUGCAGAUGACUUUUAGUGACGUCAUUACGUUCUACGUCCUACUGUCAUUGUGCAAUCGAAAGCUCCCUAGAGUCACAGACAAAAUGUCAAGUUCAAACUGUAGAUUUAUACAGCACUAUGAUACUAACGAUUUUAUGAUUUUAACUUUUUUAAUUUUUAAAUCUUCCUUUUUCAGAGUUUUAAAUUUUGUUUUUCAUUUGUAUAAUACCCUGUAUUGUGUUGUAUUUUCUAUUAUUGUUAUAUUGGUAACAAACACUUUAUAAAUAGAUAUAAAAUAUAAAUAAAGAUGUUCAUAAUAAAGAAGUACAGUAUUUAUUUUUUACUUAAAA
Long non-coding RNA from Anneissia japonica, 2358 nucleotides. RefSeq lists it as uncharacterized. The transcript is spliced from 3 exons. NCBI's taxonomy places the organism in Eukaryota, Metazoa, Echinodermata, Crinoidea, Comatulida, Comatulidae. The record is from RefSeq and is a predicted model, not a curated record.